This 231-nucleotide ribosomal RNA is filed under the name uncultured bacterium. RNAcentral describes it as "partial 16S ribosomal RNA". It matches the Rfam family "Bacterial small subunit ribosomal RNA", at positions 104 to 333 of the family's 1533-position model. The record is from RNAcentral.
CGGGGUGAGUAACGCGUGGAUAACCUGCCUCACACUGGGGGAUAACAGUUAGAAAUGACUGCUAAUACCGCAUAAGCGCACAGUACCGCAUGGUACAGUGUGAAAAACUCCGGUGGUGUGAGAUGGAUCCGCGUCUGAUUAGCCAGUUGGCGGGGUAACGGCCCACCAAAGCGACGAUCAGUAGCCGACCUGAGAGGGUGACCGGCCACAUUGGGACUGAGACACGGCCAA